Molecule: ribosomal RNA, 612 nt
Filed under: uncultured bacterium
Lineage: Bacteria
Description: bacterial SSU rRNA
Rfam family: Bacterial small subunit ribosomal RNA
Source: RNAcentral
AAUGAAGAAGGCCUUCGGGUCGUAAAAUUCUGUUGUCAGAGAAGAACGUGCGUGAGAGUAACUGUUCACGUAUUGACGGUAUCUGACCAGAAAGCCACGGCUAACUACGUGCCAGCAGCCGCGGUAAUACGUAGGUGGCGAGCGUUGUCCGGAUUUAUUGGGCGUAAAGGGAACGCAGGCGGUCUUUUAAGUCUGAUGUGAAAGCCUUCGGCUUAACCGAAGUAGUGCAUUGGAAACUGGAAGACUUGAGUGCAGAAGAGGAGAGUGGAACUCCAUGUGUAGCGGUGAAAUGCGUAGAUAUAUGGAAGAACACCAGUGGCGAAAGCGGCUCUCUGGUCUGUAACUGACGCUGAGGUUCGAAAGCGUGGGUAGCAAACAGGAUUAGAUACCCUGGUAGUCCACGCCGUAAACGAUGAGUGCUAAGUGUUGGAGGGUUUCCGCCCUUCAGUGCUGCAGCUAACGCAUUAAGCACUCCGCCUGGGGAGUACGGUCGCAAGACUGAAACUCAAAGGAAUUGACGGGGGCCCGCACAAGCGGUGGAGCAUGUGGUUUAAUUCGAAGCAACGCGAAGAACCUUACCAGGUCUUGACAUCUUCUGACAAUUCCAGAGAU